RNAcentral lists this ribosomal RNA (1257 nucleotides) under uncultured Acinetobacter sp. Its description in RNAcentral is "bacterial SSU rRNA". It matches the Rfam family "Bacterial small subunit ribosomal RNA", at positions 76 to 1328 of the family's 1533-position model. Lineage: Bacteria; Pseudomonadati; Pseudomonadota; Gammaproteobacteria; Moraxellales; Moraxellaceae. The record is from RNAcentral.
UAGCUUGCUACCUGACCUAGCGGCGGACGGGUGAGUAAUGCUUAGGAAUCUGCCUAUUAGUGGGGGACAACAUUCCGAAAGGAAUGCUAAUACCGCAUACGCCCUACGGGGGAAAGCAGGGGAUCUUCGGACCUUGCGCUAAUAGAUGAGCCUAAGUCAGAUUAGCUAGUUGGUGGGGUAAAGGCCUACCAAGGCGACGAUCUGUAGCGGGUCUGAGAGGAUGAUCCGCCACACUGGGACUGAGACACGGCCCAGACUCCUACGGGAGGCAGCAGUGGGGAAUAUUGGACAAUGGGCGAAAGCCUGAUCCAGCCAUGCCGCGUGUGUGAAGAAGGCCUUUUGGUUGUAAAGCACUUUAAGCGAGGAGGAGGCUACUGAGAUUAAUACUCUUGGAUAGUGGACGUUACUCGCAGAAUAAGCACCGGCUAACUCUGUGCCAGCAGCCGCGGUAAUACAGAGGGUGCGAGCGUUAAUCGGAUUUACUGGGCGUAAAGCGUGCGUAGGCGGCUUUUUAAGUCGGAUGUGAAAUCCCUGAGCUUAACUUANGAAUUGCAUUCGAUACUGGGAAGCUAGAGUAUGGGAGAGGAUGGUAGAAUUCCAGGUGUAGCGGUGAAAUGCGUAGAGAUCUGGAGGAAUACCGAUGGCGAAGGCAGCCAUCUGGCCUAAUACUGACGCUGAGGUACGAAAGCAUGGGGAGCAAACAGGAUUAGAUACCCUGGUAGUCCAUGCCGUAAACGAUGUCUACUAGCCGUUGGGGCCUUUGAGGCUUUAGUGGCGCAGCUAACGCGAUAAGUAGACCGCCUGGGGAGUACGGUCGCAAGACUAAAACUCAAAUGAAUUGACGGGGGCCCGCACAAGCGGUGGAGCAUGUGGUUUAAUUCGAUGCAACGCGAAGAACCUUACCUGGUCUUGACAUAGUAAGAACUUUCCAGAGAUGGAUUGGUGCCUUCGGGAACUUACAUACAGGUGCUGCAUGGCUGUCGUCAGCUCGUGUCGUGAGAUGUUGGGUUAAGUCCCGCAACGAGCGCAACCCUUUUCCUUAUUUGCCAGCGGGUUAAGCCGGGAACUUUAAGGAUACUGCCAGUGACAAACUGGAGGAAGGCGGGGACGACGUCAAGUCAUCAUGGCCCUUACGACCAGGGCUACACACGUGCUACAAUGGUCGGUACAAAGGGUUGCUACCUAGCGAUAGGAUGCUAAUCUCAAAAAGCCGAUCGUAGUCCGGAUUGGAGUCUGCAACUCGACUCCAUGAAGUCG